Long non-coding RNA from Zalophus californianus (California sea lion), 462 nucleotides. RefSeq lists it as uncharacterized. The transcript is spliced from 3 exons. Lineage: Eukaryota; Metazoa; Chordata; Mammalia; Carnivora; Otariidae. The record is from RefSeq and is a predicted model, not a curated record.
CUGAUGGUCUGAACCAUGUAGGGGCAGAACCGGGAACAGCGCUUUUGGGCCUCAGGGCAAACAUCCCAAAAUUGACCUUCAGACAACUCUGUAAUUCAAGAUUUGCCCUGCAAAUGGGUGUGACUGAAAUUUUUUGUGCCAGUGUAAACUUAUAUAGGUAUUGCUGGGUGAACUGGGGAGACCCUGGGCCCUGGUGCCUUGAUCCAGCCAGACCAGAAGGAGUCGCCGAAGAUUCUUGGUCUUGUCACGAGAAUGAAUUCAAGAACAGACACAUAAACCUGGAUGAAUAACACAAGCAGAAAAGUUUGUGAAAGUGAAAAGUGAGCUCUGGAGGAGUUUCCUGUGAUGGCAUUGGCCAUUUUGGGCCUAUCUGGUUUGAUCCGGCUUCUUGUGGAGUGCUGUGGGGACAGGCCUCUGACCUUCCCAGUAUCUGCCCAUGACUUCCUCAUUGUUGACCUCCAG